Non-coding RNA from Phaseolus vulgaris (common bean), 104 nucleotides. NCBI's taxonomy places the organism in Eukaryota, Viridiplantae, Streptophyta, Magnoliopsida, Fabales, Fabaceae. The record is from Rfam.
AUACUUUUGGGAUGUUCUUGUCUUCAACAUUCACUUCAUCCAUCCGUUUCACUUUGUCAGCUCUGUUUUUUGUGUUUUGCCGAUCGUUGUAGGGUGGAAUAUCU